UACGUAGGGGGCAAGCGUUGUCCGGAUUUAUUGGGCGUAAAGAGCGUGUAGGCGGCUGGGUAGGUCCGUUGUGAAAACUCGAGGCUCAACCUCGAGACGCCGAUGGAAACCCUCCAGCUAGAGUCCGGAAGAGGAGAGUGGAAUUCCUGGUGUAGCGGUGAAAUGCUUAGAGAUUACAUGGAAUACCAAUUGCGAAGGCAGGUUACUACUAAUGGAUUGACGCUGAUGGACGAAAGCGUGGGUAGCGAACAGG
Molecule: ribosomal RNA, 253 nt
Filed under: uncultured bacterium
Lineage: Bacteria
Description: partial 16S ribosomal RNA
Rfam family: Bacterial small subunit ribosomal RNA
Source: RNAcentral